AAGGUCUGGAGUUAGAUGGUCUGUG
RNAcentral lists this non-coding RNA (25 nucleotides) under Cricetulus griseus (Chinese hamster). Lineage: Eukaryota; Metazoa; Chordata; Mammalia; Rodentia; Cricetidae. The record is from RNAcentral.